UACGGAGGGGGCUAGCGUUAUUCGGAAUUACUGGGCGUAAAGCGCACGUAGGCGGACUGGAAAGUUGGGGGUGAAAGCCCAGGGCUCAACCCUGGAACUGCCCUCAAAACUCCCAGUCUUGAGAUCGUGAGAGGUGAGUGGAAUUCCGAGUGUAGAGGUGAAGUUCGUAGAUAUUCGGAGGAACACCAGUGGCGAAGGCGGCUCACUGGCACGAUACUGACGCUGAGGUGCGAAAGCGUGGGGAGCAAACAGG
RNAcentral lists this ribosomal RNA (253 nucleotides) under uncultured bacterium. RNAcentral describes it as "partial 16S ribosomal RNA". It matches the Rfam family "Bacterial small subunit ribosomal RNA", at positions 524 to 776 of the family's 1533-position model. The record is from RNAcentral.